Corythoichthys intestinalis (scribbled pipefish) is the source of this 14608-nucleotide long non-coding RNA. RefSeq lists it as uncharacterized. The transcript is spliced from 2 exons. The record is from RefSeq and is a predicted model, not a curated record. Lineage: Eukaryota; Metazoa; Chordata; Actinopteri; Syngnathiformes; Syngnathidae.
CCAAAAGCAGGCAGGACCCCCUCGGUAGUGCUAAUGAAAAGUGUAACUUUAGCCUCCCAGCUGUACGUCUCAAUCCAUAAUCCUUCCCCAAAAUCCAAACCGCGGGGCCGCCUCCCGCUCCCGUGGCGCCCCAGAGCCUGAGCCAGGCCGGGUCCUCUCUGACGAUUUAGUCCUGUGGCCACCUCGCAACCUGAGCACAAUCUUGGGCUCCUUUCCGUUUAGGCGCAUAGUUCCGUGGACCUCCAACUCCCAUCUGCCACCAUUGCCAUCUUAACCUUGUGUGACAACAACACGGACAUUUCAGGCGAAGCUCGGGCCUUCUGUGGAUGUGUACCUCAAGUUUGGAGGUCAGAGUCCAAACACACGCUGCCAGAUCACACUUUGGUAUGCUGAGGCACACACGCAGGUAGGUCCGCUCCAGGUGCCCCCCACGCUCCCUCCCGAAGGGAUCCCCCACUGCUCCACGGCACUCGGGUCAGGUCCGAGGGCCCGGUGGGCUGUGAGCACAGGUCAACGAGGGCUCGGACGGCCUGGAGAUGAGACAGCGGACUGGCGUGAGGAUCCGUGUUUGAUGUGUCUCCGGACUGGGCUACUAUGUUACAAUGUUGCUGUGGCUUUAAUUAGAUCUGUCGGCUGCUACUUCCUGGCUGACAGGCGCUAGCAAAACACUCGCUUUGUAAUCUCUUACAGGUUGGGACCGUCUCAACCGGAUGUGGAAAAAAAGGCUCACACUUUGGAUUUAAAAAUGCAGAAACUUGUUUCAAGGAAAAUAAGCAUGUAUAAAUAAGCAUGUGGCUUAAAACACAGACAAGACUGAAAAAGUAGUUUCUGCUUUUGCACACCUCUUUAAAAGAAACUGCUGUAUUUUAAGCCAAAGAACUGUUGUGUUUGAUAGAACAAUAUGUCUAUAUGCUGCCAUAGCAGAUUCAUGGCGCAUUAAGCUCCCGAACUAUUUUUAGUUUGUCCGUUUUACCCUGGAAACCCCCGUUUACAGACGUCACGCUACCGCUUUUGCUUCUUCCCAGCCAUAAAACGAAGGUAACAAUUAUAUUUAAUAUUUGAAAUGUCUGUCAUUUUUAGCUUAGGAUCAUUAAUUGCUGUUUAAUAUUCAUUAAAAAAAAAAAAAAACGACUUUAAAAAAUUAUUUAGUCGCAUAUAUAAACUUUUAAACAUAUUACGUCACAAUGAAAAAAAUGGCGUCUGUAAAAACGUCACGGAUAUCUACCUCAUAACUAUCGCUUAAUUGAAUUUUUUUUGUUGUCACUGUUGUAUUUUCUUCGAUACGUUAGAUGAUAAAUAAUCGAUCCAAACAAACAAACAAACAAACAAACAAAAAAAAAACUUUUAAAAGUGUAAAUAUGUGAAAAAGAAAAUCUUGGCCUCUCCUUGAUGUCUGCGAUUUCUGCAUCGCGACCCUUGUUAUGUUUCACUCAUAAAAAUUCCACAAAAUCGAGCUGUGGCCAUUCACAGCUGUGUCUUGACACUUGUUCAUACAUGCUACAAACAGUUUUUGGAUCAAAACAAGGUAAGUACGCGAUAAUAUCUCGUUAAAGUCAUGGCGUCUUUAAUUCUGCUCUCGCGUGCUCUCACCUCCAGAUAGGGUUUUACUGUUUAAAAAAAAAAAAAAAAUCCAAAACUUCCCUCCAGUUCUAAAUUUUUCUUCCCCCAGAAAAAUGAGAUUUUAAGCUUUCCAAUGAUGUACCACACAUGCAUAUCGGACAAUUUUGAAAGUUGGCCAAAUUGGGGGUUUCAGAGCGGAACUUCAAGUCACCACAGUGUUUUCCGCCAUGUACUCUCUGCAUGUACGAUAAUUUACUGUGAUGCAGCCUCUCUCAGUCUAAAUAAAAUGGACAUUUAUCGCCGUUAAUGACACUUAAACAUGAUCGCUGUCAAUGGCAGCCAAUUAAAAAAAAAAAAAAACAGUACACAUUAUUUGCAUUUUAAUUCAAUUCACUGGGUAAACAAGAUUAAAGAUGUAUUUCGAGGUGCAAAAUUAAUUACAGUAAUUAAAUUCGUAAGACAUUGACAAAAUGCUUCUCAGUUUUUCAUAUUUUUGGACAAAAAAUUUAUUUUUAAUGAUUAUUUAAAUCUUUUUGUUGUUUACUAACUUCUUCAUAUUUCAAUGAACUUGUUGGCAUAAAUAAGCUGGUUUGACAACCAACAUGAACUCCAAAUGAAGAAUAUUGGAGAUAAACACCAAAGAGGGUAGGAGACAAAUCCUGAAAAUGAGUCGCACUCGCUUUGUGAGGAAACAAUCUUAGCGAGAAAAAAAAGGCAGAAAAUUCCGUUUUCACGAUGAGUGGCUGCGUGUUAUCAGUGAACAAUGCAAAAAAAGGAAGAAAUGCUUGCUAUAUCUGCACGCCUAAAUUUUGAAGUUAUAUCGUAAGUAAUAAGUACACAAUACAGAGAUCUGUUUCCGAAUGUAAAACUUAAGUAUUCAGAAAAAUAAUAUUUGUUUUCUUCCCACUACUGAUGUCAGCCCAUGUGUGUGUGCUUCUAUGCAAUUGUGUUCAUUUAACAGCCAGGUAUCAACAUCGCUGUCUGUCUGCCAUGCUAAUUAACUGUGAAGUCACUGUAUUGAAGAUAUGGAAGAGAAAAAGAACGGCAGCUCACACUGUUAAAAUGACCACAGCAGCUCCUCCACAGGGUGUGAUCCAAAUAUGAACACCGAUUAUGUGUUUUGUUAAAAAAAGAAGAAGAAAAAAAGGAUGCAAAAAUGAUAUGACCAAAUUCCAAAAAUCUUUGUGGGUAAACAGUGGAUAUUGUUAAAGGUUCAUAUUUUUUCAUUAAUUUCGAUUUGAAUGAUGCCUAACAACUUGAUGAAGUUGCCUCUCUUGAGUUACAUUCUAUUACAUAUUUUACCAAUGAUAGAAAAACAAAUAAUUAUCAUAAUAUUCAUUCCUGAAACCAAAAAAAAAAAACUUUGGACCAAAGUUAUUAUAACAUUAUACAGUGAGUGACACCUCUGAGAUUGACCAUAAUCAAUUAUUGCAGGCAGUGUUGUUUUUGGCAGCUCUUUUAAUGUCCAUUUCAGUCCGAGUCUUUUGGACGAAAAUACAAUAUUAGUCAUAUUUUAGUCAUUUCAAAAAGAAUUACUAAUUUCGUUUAAUUUUACUCGAAGGUUACUCAAAAUGUUUUCGUUCGUAAAAGUCUAAGUCAAAAAAUAAUUAAGUAAACAAAGGUUACCAACAAUUUCAAAUGAACAUUGAUAUUGUAUUAUCUAAAAAGACAUCGCCCACUUGGUGAUAAUACACACUCAGCAGGGAAACAAUACAUUAUUUUCAAUUACACCCACACUAGACGCUGCUUACUAUAUGUAAAAAAUGUUUCAGAGAUUAAGAGGACGCUCGCUGCUAGUGUGACUGUGAAUGCUAUGCUAACGCUACGAGUUACAUUUAGUGAUAAUCUCUCAGAACAGACCUUUCAAGGCUAAAGCAACUAUGCAUAUUUUCUCUUGCCAACAUCUUACCGUGUGUUUCAAAACAAGCAAGCCUGGAGAGGAGAGACCACCAGAGAGUUAGGGGCCGGAGGGCGCAUCACGUCCCAUGAGUGACACAACCAGACAGUGAUACAAUGCAGGCUAACUAUACAUAAAAAUGUUAUACAUUGUGAACAUGUGACGGAAACUAUGGCGCACUUUCAUCUCGUUCUUGUCUCGUCAGACGAAAAUAGGCGUUCGUCUCGUUAUGUUUUAGUCUCCCAAGACGCGAUUUUAGCACGUUAUUGCCUCAUCAUUGUCAUGAAAAAAUUGUUCGUCGACGAAAUUUUUUCAUUAUCAUCAUCGUUGACGAAAACAACACUGAAUGCAGGUUUAUAUUACAGUAGAGUUUGUGUAUUUUAUCGCCAUUGACGAUUGUAGAUGUCCAAUCCAUUUUAACUAGGAGGUUUAGCAGUAAAUGAUCUCAGACAGCUUGGAACAAAAAUGUUUUUUUAAAAUAAAAAUUUUGGUAAAAUGUACUUGCAUAUUCUAAAAGUAUUUACAGUAUUUAACAUUUCUAAAAGAUUUAAAUUAUAUAAUAUAAUGGAAACUGUACAAAAUGAGGACAGUAUUUAGAGUGGUUUAAAGUGUAUGUUUCAACUCUGCAUCGAGGAAACUGCCGGAAUCCACACGAAUCGUGGCUUUCAGACAUAAGGAAAUGUAUCUGUACUUUACCGGCUUGGCCACAUUAAGACUAGAGGGAAAUUGAGCAACUCCUACCUAGCAGCUGACAUCAUGCCCGAUUACUUUUUUAGAUUACGCUGAAUAUGUAAAUUUAACUUACUCUAUUAUCUGUAAGAGAUCACACUGAAAAACGACACGCCCUCAAUUACGUUUAUUUGCUUUUGCUCAGCUAUAAAGUUCCGCUGAAAAUUUUGCAGUCUUUUCCUAAGCCCUUUAAUCGGUGAACAGUUGUCUGAUCUAGUUUGCCAUAGUGAAUUCGUUCGUUUCCUGCUUAUCAAAUGUGGUCAUUUUGUCUUAGUCAAGAAAUUGAGAAAUAGUAGUAUAGUCUUGCGAUACCUACGUCAUCAACCUCUGCACAGUGAAGCGAUACAUUAGUUGCUGUGCUCAGACACAGCGUGUGUCUGUGAUGUACUAAACAUGUGACUAGGCAACAAGCCGGUAAACGGCUAAUGUGCGUGUCAGCUUACAAAUUGCAUUUACACAUAGCCAGUGCCGGAUAAAUACAAGUACAGUACAUUACCGUACUUCAUUGUAUGUCUGAAAGGGGCUAGCAUGGGUUGCGUGCUGUCUAAAGAGCAUUUCAUUCAAACAUGGCCCUACUUAGAUAAAUAAAGAAAUAUCAUAUCCAAUGUGUAAAACACACAUUUUUAUAGUUAAUAAUAAUAAAAAAAAUAAGGGGAUGUUUUAUACAUAAGAACCCUAAGAUGAAGAAAAUUUAUUUUGAUAUUUUUAGGUAACUUGAAGUUGUGAAAAUGUGCUCUGCAACACUCUGGACUGUUUGGAAAACCUAUUAAUGGAAUGUCAUGAGACACAUAGCGCAUUCUAAUUGUAGGGUUAGGAAAUCAUAUUACAUUUCCCAACGUAUAAUGGUAGGUCACCAUUUUCUUAUUAAACACAGGGACACGAAAAGAAAAAGUCUGAACACUAGAAAUCCCAAUCGAUCAAAUCCUAUACAGUAAAUACUAAUAAUUUAGGGAUGCGUAUUACACUUGAGUGCAUACUAUACACGGUGUGACAUAAGGACAUUGACAGGACCUGAGGAAUCUAGGCAAGAUGGCCGCCUAGAGAUUACAUCUACCAACAUGCCGCACAACUCACCCAGGUGUGGCUGCUUAAGCCACUGGAUGAAUGUGUAGCCCAGAGAAAAAACACAGAAUUACAGUAUAUACCAAAUCAUAGACUUCACUAUCAGUUGACGGGACACGGGGCUCGAGGUCCAUCGGUAGGGGGCCUAUUUUCAAAAACUUAAAAUUCAAAUAUUUUCAAAACCAAAGCCGCUAGCCACCCAAAACUAAAACAGGCACCUCCCUUAGGCAUAUAUGAGUCUCCGUGAGCAGCGACUAUCAAAAAAUUCAAAGUCGUUUCCUAAUAAAAUCCCGAUUAAUUAUUUUUUUAUAUAAGUAUGACAAAACUUAUAAUGGCAAAAAAAUUUCAAAUGUUACGUUGGAUGCACAAAAAUCACCAAAUGCAGAGAUGAUCACCUAUAUUUUUAGGAUCAAUAGCAAUAUUUGACAUAUCAUAUAGGUUUUUGCCCGGAAUUUAGUGCAAGUUUUCAAACAGAAAAUCACUCAAUUUUCACAUCAGAAACUUAAUACUUGAGGAAAGCAUGAAGAACCAUCUUAAUUUUACUCAACAAAAGCAAAAUAGGCAUUUUUCACAACUUAUUUAGGUUUAAUUCCAAUGUUACUAUUGCCUCAGCACGUCUUGCAGGCUAUCUGGCCCUCAUUGUUUUUAGAUUGAAAUGUUAUAAAAAAAUCAAACACAUAAAAUGGGGAAAAAAAUUGUAUGGAUGUCUAAAGUACUAAUUUUUUUGCCAAAAAACGGGCCGCUGGCCGAACAUUACCUGAUCAUUUGAAUGUACAGUUAUGCUAUUGUGUAUGGAUAAAACUUGGUGGCUAUCACAAAACAGAGCUUUUUAAGUUCAAAAUUAAUAAAUGCGUACAUCAAGGCAUUUCUAUAGAUAUGAAUACAAAACAGUCUAGAUUUCUGGUUAAAAGCAAAAAAAAAAAAAAAAAACGGGCAGUUAUCAUUCAUUGUACGGAAAUAUUUACAGCUAAAGUUACGCUAAUGUGUAUGGAUAAAACAUGGCGGCCAUGACAAAACAAAGAGUGAAAGUUCUUGUAAAGAAAUUCGUAAAUCCCAGAAUUUCUAUAUAUAUAUGAACACAAAACAGUUUAGAUUCUUGUCUAAAAGCAAAAUCAAGCAGUUAUGAUUCAUUUUACAUAAAUAUUUCAAGCUAAAGUUACGCCAAUUUUUUCCCCAUUCAUUUUUCACAACGUUUCAAAGUGCAUGCAUGGUGCUAUUUUAUAUAAUAAUUGCCUUGAAACCUUGACCAAAUCACCCUUGAGACACUCCUGCCUGCUUGUUUGGAGUAAAACUUUCGUCCUUUUCCACAUAAAUUCGUUGUUUGAUCACACCCUGUGUUUGAGUUUAUAGCAGUGAAAGCUGCACGACGCUCUGCCUGGCCAAGACCCUUACGGGAAGGCGUGGUGCAAUGUCUGUAAGAGCUGUCUAGUCUACUGAUGGUGAAGUCUAUGACCAAAUAUAUACAGCAUAACGACACUAAAGAGAAUUCAUGACAUUUGAAAUUGCAUUCACGCAAUUUCACACUCGCAGAAGUGUCGUCAGCACAUGCACUACCUUUUCGAACAUUAGCCUUUCUCAGUGAGUCGACAGCGCCUUUAAUCGCUCCAGAAAGUAAUUGAAAAAAGCAAAUUGACGAAUGCAUCAGCUGCUCCUGUGUUGUGUGCUUUUUCAAGUUUUAUGCAAAUUCCGCAGUCACACGGUGAGAAUAUUGAGCAGGGACCACUCGGUAAGAAGUGGAACAUCACUCACUACUUCACUAAUACUAAAUUUUAUACUCAUGGCUAGCUUGCCACUUUUUGUAGCCCCACCUUUCUAUAUGUAUAAAGUGUAUAAAAGUGGCCAAGACUGAGAGGAGGGAGGGGGGACACGCUCUGCACACCUAAAGAAAACUGGAUGUAGUACUAACGGCAGUCUGGGCACCGCAUAUGGUAUCCUAUUCAUAUAGUACUGAUGUCUUCACCGAUGUGAAGUUUUAACAUUUGCGUUAUUACCUCCUCUUUCAUCUUAAAAAAAAAAAAAAUUAAUGAAAUGUUGGUUUUGUUCCUAGGGGGCGCUACACACAUUUACACUUUUUUUUUUAAUUUAUUAUUUUUACAUUUUAUCAAGGUUUUCACCAGUGUUCACCUGGCUGUUGAGUUUGGUGAGUUUUGAAGCAUUCUGAGGGGGUCAAAGUAGGGCUCAAGGCGUCAGCGGGACAAAGAAUGACUGCUAGGGGGCGCUACAUAGUGUAUUUGGAAUUUGUCUUUACACGGUAUCAAAGAUUGCACCUGUCUUGACCUGCCUGCCGAUUUUGGUGCAUUAUGAAGCAUUCUAAGGGGAUCAAAUUGAGCUCAAAGGGGCUGCGGAACAAAGAAUUACUAUAAUAAUAAUAAUAAUAAAACCGAGGAACCACAAUUGGUUACCUAAAAAAAAAACAUUGUCACCUGCAUAUCCAUACUGUUCGGUUAUGGAUGUGUUCUAAGUCAAAUAAAAUCAAAUCAACUUUUAUUUGUUUGGACCAGUGCUUCUCAAUUAUUUUCUGUUACGCCCCCCCCCAAGGACGACAUAAAUGUUUCGCGCCCCCCCAAACUCUGCCGCCACUGUAAAAAGUAUCAUUUGUCUAUGAUAUUACUAUUAUAAGUACGCGUCUGCCUCACAUUGUAUCCUUUUUUUUCUAUUAGAGAAAAUAACAGAGAUCAACUUACAAAGUACAACUUUAUUAACAUUGUUUUGUUUGUAACAGAAAAGACUUAAAGCGCAUCAAUUUGCCUGAAUUAAAAAAAAAAGUCACAUCCAAACUGUAAAAAUACACUCAAGGUACAUUUGAUACUGAAAAAUAAAAUAAGUAAAUAAUAACAAAUUCAAAUUGAUUACAAACAUUAACUUAUGAGGACAAUAUGCCAAAAAAUUUGAUCGAAAAAACAAAACUAGAUAGAGGAAGAAAAAAAAAAGUGUCUUUGGACAGAAGGACAGUUUUUAUUUUCGCUGCUCGCAGCUCCCAGUAUCACCUCUAGUUUGCAAUGAUGUGGGGUUAUAUUGCACUGAGCAUGCUAACAGUGCUCACUGGUUUACUGAUAUAAGACUGACAAAGCGGGACGAUUGUUGGCAAUAUUCUGCACGUUUUCGCUGAAAAACAACCAAGCGGCUUAUCAAUGAGAUUGGGGUCUAAUGUCUUUAAGUGGCAUCUUAAUUGAUUUGGCUUCCGGCUGUCCGCUAUAAUCAUUUUUAGACACAGUAAACAGUGGUCUUUCCUCAUCUACCACUGUAUUAAAUGUCAAAGCCAAAAGGUAAACGGCCCAAGAAAAGCGCAUUCUCGGCGGCCGAGGGAGAACCGUAGGUGAGGGCGGUCGUCGUGACGAUCCCAAGCCGAAAAUGGCACAUCUCGGGCGGACACGUGAGAACCGGAGAAGACAGUGGGUCGCUGCGAUAGUCCGGCCGGAAAACGGCUUUCGAAAACGGCGCACAGCUCUCCAGCUCUUCAUGAGUCUCUUCCGUGUGCUCUUGCUUACUUCAAAAAUACUGCGCCCACUUUGAAAAUGAGAGCGCCACUGCCACCCACUGAGUGGAUGUGCAAGUACACUUUAUUCUAGUACGGCCCAAAAAAAAAAAAAAAAAGCAUGUUCCCCGAGGUCACAUGCGCCACCUCUGGCAUCGCUUUGUGCCUCCCUGGGGGGGCGCGCCCCACUAUUUGAGAAGUACUGGUUUAGACCAAAUCACAACAACAGUUAUCUCAAGGAGAAAACAAGAUAUGUUUUAAGGUGUAGUAGCCCUACGAUGGAUUUCGAUCUACUUGAGCUUUGUAGCUUUUUUUUUUUGUCCCCCCCAGGUAAGACUAACGCCCACCCACACCUGGCAUCCUGGCAACACCACUGAAUUGGGAGCUUGUUUUGUCAUUUUUUUUCCUUGGCUUCUCUGUCAUAUUUUGGACACUUUUGGUUUAGCGAAACUGCUCAAUCUGCUGUUUAAUCCAAUUAAGAUCUGUGGCACUGAACAAACAGCGUCCUGGGCUCAUUCCUGUUAAGGUGUACGUCACAGGUUGUCACAACAGGAAAUGCUGUUAAUUUUCCUCCCAAUGAAGUGAAAUUGUGAAACUGAAAUGCCUGAUAAACUCUCAGUGCUCACUGUUUGGAAAACUCCACUCUAUUGAGUGUUUUGUGAAGAUGCCGCUGACGUGUUCUCCCUGCUCAAAGACGCGUUAAGUAACCACUGGAUAUCGCCCACUGAGGAGUAGUGUGGUGAAAUUGAUCUCAGAUUAGACGAGUACGAAUCAUCCGCUCUCCCCCUUUGUCCCCGCCAAGUUGGUGGAUCUUGACUUAGAACUCCUUAAAAGGGAGACUUCACAGCUGGCUGAAGCAUACUAAUACCCUGGACUCAUUAAAUUAAUGGGAGCCUGAUUCUCCUUAUGCUCCAUGUGCACCGUUGCCCUUUGAGUUUGCUGGGGCUAGAGGCUGCACAGCACUUUGAAAGCCCUGACCGGCAUAUUGAGCGUGUUUUAAUAGAAGCCUUUUGAGACUUCUGGUAAGAUGCGCCAUAACUCUUUGCCUUCAAGUCCUCGCACCUCUUUGUGUGAUCUCGUCACAUCGUCGCUCUAUGCUCCAUCGAGGCCUGGAGACAGGAAGGGGACCGAGCGCGGUAAAUGAGGCCAGAGGUGUCCAUAUCUGAGCAGAGGCCAUUCUUUCAUGAAGAUGUGCAUCUUUAAGACAUGCGCCUGUAUCCGCUUUGAUGUAGAAAGGUGCUCGGUAGAUGACGGACGAAGAAGCCUAACACUUCUAGUUGCCUCAAGGGAUAAGAGCGCGUCUUCUUGUCGGACGGUAGUUCUUUACGCUGUUGAUUUAAUUACGCCAGCGUGUAUAACUGCCGUGAAAUAAAUGGAAGUCCCUCAUAGCAUCAUUAUGAAAGUCAAUGUCCAUCUAAUGGGAAGACAUGCUGAGAAUCAUUCCAUACUGAAGAUGAGGGAACGUCAAGAAGCUGACGAUUCAUCGCCGAAGGUGGCGAAAGCGGAAUUCCAAGGUGCGAAGGGCAGAGACAAAGCGGUUUUUGAAAAUAGCUAUUAUUGUAAUGGGUAGAAAAGAAUAUCAAUAAGACUUUUGCAUAUUUGCCCAACAGCUGUAAGAUGAGUUGGUAAGACAAGAAAGCGAAGGAACUCACAUUACCAUAACAAAAAAAUAAGCAUGAAUACAUCAGCCUGAAAGUUAUCUCACUGAAAACAUUAAGAUAAACAUAAUUAGCUCCAAAUGAAAAUAUUAGGACAAUAAUAUCUUGCAUAUAAAUAACUGUUAGUACAAGACGAAUAGAUUUCCACUCAACAACUCAGGGUAACAAUAUUAGUUUAACUCACACAGAGGUAGAUGAAAAAGGGCCGGUGUGUGUGCUGGCUUUUUUUUUUUUCAACCAAUAUGGCACGGAGAGUAUCUGCUAAAACAAGCAGCACCUCACUGCAAUCAACUAAUGACAGAUUGGGAAAAACUGUCCUCUUAAUCAGUUGGAGAGAAAACCUGCACCCACCUACAGCGGCAUUUUCUCGACUAGGUUGGGCACCACUCCUCUACAAAUAACUGUAUAUAGGCCUCUAAGAAGCCCCCCAUCCCUCCACCCCCACCCAAAAAUCUAAUUUGUUUAAGAAAAUUCCUAUUAAUCUGUUGAAAAUAUGUCUAAAUCUUGUUAAGUUGAGGCUUAAAAUCUGCAGUUUUACUUCAAAGACAGCAAAAAGAGUCCAAUCCAAAUUAAAAACGAAAUAACAGUAAGUCCACCUCAUUUUGAUUCUGCGAGUGCUUAGCAGUAAUACAACAUCUAAAUUUUGAACCUGCUUGGAUUAUAUACAUUAGAAAGAGUUUGUAUUGGUUUUGCUAGUGUUCCAGCCAACGAUAGUGAGGCUUGCUCCCGUAAAAAAAAAAAAAAAAAGUUCAGCUGUCUAAAGCCUAUUGCUUAUAUAUUGCUUUCGCUUGCAGCGGUUCAACUUUUUCGGUAGUAAACACAAAUAUGGGUUAAAAAAAAUGGCUUAGUCAGGUACUCGUGGUCAUGCCACGCAACCAUUUCCUUAGAAUUCACGUGUGAUGAACAUCCUCCAUAUCCUGGAAACCUUCCAGUAGUGCCAGGCUGCACUGAUUGGAUUUUCAUAAAGGCCUCAGACAGUAAUGAUGCCUCAAGCCUUUGAUCGCCGCCCGAUAUCGCAACAUGGCGGCGUGUUCGGCUCUUCGCCGCUGCUAACAAGCAGCCACCACAUUUACGUGCCUCCCACUCCAAGGCGUAAUUUAUUCCCAUCACUCAGGAUGCGCGAAGAUCCGUAGGUCGCCACGGUACCUGGCAACAAUGCGGGAUGCGGCCGGGCAGUGGGGGGAGGAUUUGAUGCAAUCAAGAAGCAAAGGGCCACGGUUACCAGGCAGGUUUGGAGCCACGUCCGCUCCCACUGUGACACGGCACUCAUCUUCGCAACACCGGACCAAAAAAGAGGGGAAGCGCGCUGAGAUCUUAUCCCACAGAAGCCAAUUUCCUCCACCAAAGUUCUCCUUCUCAGAGUGUGGCUCAAGCACUUCAAAGUGGAGAGCCAUACAGAGAGCACGAUUCAUUUGGCAGCUCAUGUUGUCCGCCUUCAAAAAAGCCAAAGCUCGCCGCGAGACGCUCGGCGGGGCUGAUUCCGGCUUCAGAGAGGGGAAAGAAUUUGGCGGCGGCUUAGGGCGCCCAUCCCCAUCCAGAGGUGGGCUCUUUUUCAUCUUAGCGACCGAGUUUGGUGACUGGGCGCUUCACAGGUGGGAGUCGGCCUGGGUCAAAGAAGUGCGCUUGCUAAGGACUGGAUUUGCCGCUGUUAUUUUUCUAUUAGGGCAGAAUUAUGCUAAGCCUUCAGAGGCCAUCUUUGUGUUGCUAUGGCAGCCCAUAUUUCCUACCGGGUUGUGACCUUGAAUGACUACAGUGCAAAGCCAAGUCGCCCCCGCACCCUUUGAGGAUUAGAAGCAGGGUCUCUUAGUUAUGCAAAACACCUCUGAUAUGAUUGAGCCUUGAAUGCUUGAAUGACAAACUUUAUUGAGAUUGCCUCUCUUUUCAUCUGAUUAUUGUCACUUGAUUAUUUCCAAUCACUUGGCACGGCUUCAAACGUCGCUUUGUUAAGGACCACGCCGAGCUAUUCUUUUCCGGCACCGCCACAAAAGCCCGUGUCGCAGAGUAUUCAUGGGACAAAACAUGCGGGACAGCAAUUCUCCAACAGAAUGAAGGGAAAUUAGAUCACUUUGGAAGGGGAAAAUGAAACUAGCAUCUUUUAAAAAUCGCCUUUUUAUGAAGAGGAUUUGUCAGACCGGACGCCAGAUCUCUUUUAGAUAUCUCUAGAUAUCAAAAAAAAAAAAGUUUCAGUCCUUUUGACAAAGAUUUUAUUUAGUUCUGAAAUUAUCAUAUAAUAAUACCCUUAAUGUAUUUAAUUCGUUGGCUACCAUUGACGUCUAUCGACACCAAUGGCAGUGAAUAAGCUAAUGUUUUGUAGCUGUUUGUCUUCAUCUGAACCUUGAGCCUUAGGCAAAGUCAAGGAGGAAAAAACCGAAACCCCAAUUUGGCAAAAAUCUUCCGUUUUCUGCUAGGAAGCCAGAAAAAUGCUGGGAGAGCCUACUAGAACAUCUGAAAUGCAUUCAGAGUGAUGAAAGGGCACUUUACUGGUGUCAAUUGAGUGUUGACGAGGUGGAGGUAGACAUGAACAGUUAAAAAUUACUGUCGUUGUUUGUACAGCACUUGAAAGGAGCAGACAAAAUGCCAGGAAAAGCUGACAAGAAUGGAGAUAUAAUUGCAGUUAAUCAGGGACUCUUUAAAUGGUGAUAAGUGUGUGGUGACUUUAACAUAAGGUUGAAUUUAAUUGGUUCUCAGUUUGAGAAUGAGUUAUCAAGUUUAGCUGUCUGCUUGGUGUCAUUUCUGGUCUCAGUCCUUUCCGGAGUUGCAUUUGUUACUUUUAUUGAAAGCUAUUUGGGGAAAUUGGAGUUUCUUGUGUACCCAAAACACAAUCGAUACUCAUGAUUUGUCGUCUUUCGAUUUUUUUUUUUUUUUUUUUUUGUGGCAAUCUUUCCAGCUGUUUUGCAAGCUGCCAUCAAAGCUACAAGUGAGAGAUGCGUAUGAGGCAGCCACUGGGACCUGCAAACGGAGACGACUCUUUGAAGGAAGCAGAUUGACACUAUUGUGAUCACAACGCACAACAGGAGGCGACUUUUGAAGGAGGAAAGUGCGCCCAGUGUCGGCUUUCAGGUUACAAACACAAAACACACGUGGAGUGGACGUUGAGCAACCUAACAACGUAUGUCCAAACUUGCCCAGCCAAAAAAUAUCAAUAGGUAAAUUCCUCCCAAUUUUUUCGAUGACCAACACACAAAAUGAGAUUAUAAUUUUUAAGUACACAAGAGAAGCCUUAGAGAGAGUUUCUCAAGGGUUCAUGAUGCUUCCAUAUGGAGCCAUAUGUAUGUAUACUUUUUAGGGUUAUUCCAAUACAUUGAUUUUAUUCGAUAUGGCGGAAAACACAGACCAGACUGAAAAAGCAGUUUCUGCUCUUGCACACCUCUUUAAAAGAAACUGCUGUAUUUGAAGCCAAAACAACUGUUGUGUUUGAUAGUACAACAUGUCUAUAUGCUGCCAUAGCAGAUUCAUGGCGCAUGAAGCCCCGAACUAUUUUUAAUUUGUCCGUUUUACCCUGAAAAACCCCGUUUACAGACGUCGCGCAACCGCUUUUGUUUCAACUCAACAGUAAAACAAAGGUAAUUAAUUAUAUUUAUUAUUCAAAAUGUCUGUUGUUUUUAUAUUAUAAUCAUUAAUUGAUGUCUCAUAUUUUGUUUAAAAAAAAAAAAACGACUUUAAAAAAUAAUCACUCGCAUAUUUUAAACUUCUAAACAAAUUAUGUCACAAUGAAAAAAAUGGCGUCUGUAAAAAAGUCAUGGAUAUCUACCUCAUAUAUAUCGCUUAAUUAUAUUUUUUUUGUUACAGUCGCAUUUUCUCCGAUAUUUUAGAUGAUAAAUAAUCGACCCAAACAAAAAAAAAAAAUGGGAAAAAAAAGUUUAAAAGGGUAAAUAUAUGAAAAAAACUCUCGACCACUCCUUGAUGUCUGCGAUUUCUGCAUCGCGACCUCUGUUAAAUUACCAUGUUUCACCCAUAAAAUCCCCCAAAAAUCCAGCUGUGGCCAUUCACAGCUGUGUCUUGACACUCAGUGAUUCAUGCUACAUGGAGUUUUUGGAUCAAAACAAGGUAGGCACUCGAUAAUAUCUCGUUAAAGUCAUGGCGUCUGUAAUUCUGCUCUCGCGUGCUCUUGCCUCCAGAUGGGGUUUGGCUGUUUAAAAAACUUUUUUUUUUUUUUUUUAAAUGACCUCCUGUUCAAAAUUUUUAUUCCCCCAGAAAAUUGAGAUUUUAAGCUUUCCAAUGAUGUAU